This is a long non-coding RNA of Aedes aegypti (yellow fever mosquito), 3081 nucleotides long. RefSeq lists it as uncharacterized. Lineage: Eukaryota; Metazoa; Arthropoda; Insecta; Diptera; Culicidae. The record is from RefSeq and is a predicted model, not a curated record. The transcript is spliced from 2 exons.
CCUACAGACAAACUUCGUAUAAUCGUAACCGUGACUCAUCGAUUUCCGAAACCUAUCAUCCUACGCCUGCACUCUGUUACAUUCCGGAAUUUGUUACUAUUUGUUACUAAUUCAGUUAAUUCAAGAAUAAUAAUAAUAAGAAGAAACGGAAAACUAGACUAGAAAACUAAAGAAAUUUAACACUAAAAAAACUUCAAUUUCAAAUUCAAAACUAAUUAACUUGGCAAAACUAUUUAAAAACUAUUUACAUUUUUAUAAAUAUACAUUUAAACUAAUGUUAAGCAUAAUUAUUUACAAGAAAGGAGAAAAAUAUAACAAAACGAAAAAGGAAAAUACAAAAAAGCAAAUACAAGAUUGUGACCUAUCACAUAGGUAACAAUUAUCCCGGAUCGGGUGUAAAAAAAAACAAAGUUUUUUUUAUUAUGGGGUCCUCUACAAUCGAGUGAUUACAAAAAAAAGUUCAAGCAAAAGUUCUCUCUUCUUCCAGAUUUAAUUGAUUUGGUGCAAUGAUUGAUCCUAUGCGGCAAGUGCUGUUGCUCGAAAUCACCUAAAUUUGGAAGAAUGAGCCUGCUUUUGCAUGAAUCCGGUUUCUGUUCUCUGCCUCCGACUAUAGGAUUCCCAGGCGUCCAACUAUAAGUUUCGCUACACAACUCUCUGCUCUGCCAAUUUUAGUUGAUUCUUCGCAAUGAUUGAUCCUGGACGGCAAGUGCUGUUCCGAGGAAUCAUAUAAAAUUGGAAGAGUGAGCCUGGUUGUCGCGGAAUUCGUCUUUGUCAAAACUUUCAAUAUCCGAAACUUUUCUUUGAGCUACCAUGUGGAUAGAACUGCUGUUUAUUCUUUACAUAGUUCUCUUCUCUUCAAAAUUCAGGUUGAUUUGGAGCAAUGAUUGUUCCUAUGCGGCAAGUGCUGUUCCUCUAAAUCACUUGAAUUUGGAAGAGUGAGCCUGCUAUGAAUAGAAAUAUAGCAAUCCUUUCCGGUCGCUUGAAGGAAAAGAGCCGGAGCUUCCAAAGUCUUUCCAUUUGGUAGAGGGAUCUGCGUGUCGAGAUUUGGUCAACUAUGAAGACCUAUUCAACUAGUAGUUCUCUGCUAUUUCAAAUUCAAUUUAAUUGAGAGCAAUGAUUGUUCCUGAGCGUCAAGUGCUGUUGCUCUUAAUUACGUGAAUUUGAAAUAGUGAGGCUCACUAUCUAGUUGAAUACGUACUUCUAUGUCGCCAUGAUCUGGACAGGUGAUUUGUCCCGAGAAUUAAUUAGAAUUAUUAAAUUGUGAUCUGCAAACUGCAAUUGUACUUGAAAUUACAAAACCAUAUUUCGUCAGAAAAGCUCGCAUUUUGCCACUCACAGAACCCACUGAAUACAAGGCCUCAAUUAAUUAUUUUCCUGUCAACAUUCGUUGACAAAAUAACUUAGAACUAAAUAAUGUACUUAAUUAGAGAGAAAAACAAUGAUUACUUCUCUUUUUUUUUUAAUGACGUCACAAGAUUUCACUUGGACCAGAUUUUAUUUUCAUAUACUCACAUUCAAACAUUUCAUUUCACAAACAUUCAUCAAUCCACUCAAUCAUUUCAUUUCCACUCAUUCCCAUUCAUAAUUUUCAGUCAUCCCAUUCAUUCACACUUACUCAUUCAAAAAUUACACUCAUCCUACUUAAUUACUACUAAAACACAUGAUUUUAGGGCGCCCUUAACUUAAUAUUGUUUCUUAGAUCACUCUAGCGUCUCUUAUUCUAAGAAAACUGGUGGUCUUUCUGCGAAACUUAAAUUUAAUGAACCGAUCUCAAUGCUGCUUCUUUACUCUCUCGCAUGCGAGAAAAAAUUGCAAGCAACAUGAGGGGCUUUUAAUGACUACAGCGAAUGUCGACCAUACCAGGUUGAAAAAGCCUUUUACUCAGCCCUGUGUAUGUCGACUAAAUAAAGAAGGCUCUUGUGUGGGUGUGAAAUGUCAAAGUAUGUUUACAUUUCGCCCGAAAUACGAGUUGAAGCACCGUGAACCGUGAAAAUAUUUCACCUUUUCACGGUUUUAUCACAGUUUGCAGGUGCAACGAAUAAUUAUUUUGUUACAUCCAGAUAGAAAAAAGGAAUGAAUAAAGAAUGGAAAAGAAAAUUAUCGACUUGUUUAUUUUUUUUCUUCGAAAAAUAAUAUCUAAGUGAUUCAUAAUCGAUUUAGCAUACGAUCGAUUGAUCAAAACAAAAAUCUCUGAUUUAUUGCGCUGGUUGUUAAGUUGGGUUUGCCAGCAAUGAUUAUGGCUAAUUGGUUGUUGUCAUGUUCGUGUAAGUAUAAGUACUCUCUUUCGGUUGGGUUACACUUUGAUGCUGCGAUGUAACGCACCUAUUUAUGAAUUGAUGCGGUAUUGUGAAUGGCAGAGACACAAUCUGUACAUAAAAUGUACGUGGAGUGCUCGAAAUUUCUUACAGGGUGGCCAUGUUUGCCACAAUUGAAGCAUCUGUCUUCAGGUGGGGGAUGAUACGAAUCGAAAAGGUAUUCGUAUGACGAUGAUCUUUUCGCAUGAUUAGCGGUAAGAGUGGAUUUCACUGAAUGAAAUUUAGGGUCGAAUGAGUAUGGUAUGGGCAAUUGGGGUGGAUUAAACGACUGGUGCCUAAAAUUGAACAAAUAAUCACCGUUCCUUAAUUUCGGGCUACACUGCGGAUUUAGCCUGUAAGUCAUUAAAGGUGAUCGUGCAUUGUCACACUUUGACUGUGAUGAAAUGUCUGGUAAAUUCUGGAAUGCAUUUGAGUGACUUAUUCCGUUCGAAGAAUUUGAAUCAAUUGACGAAUCAUUUGACGUCGGUGAAUUUAUGUAGGCUUGUUGCAGGUCGAUUACCGGUCCUGAUUCAACAGAAUCAGGUGCAGAAAUACUCGAUAGACUGCCGUCGGCAACUGGAAUUUGCACUUUUGAUUCUUCUCCGCUAUUUUCAACCAGUUUACUUUCAAGUUCUUUGACUCGAAAUAACAAAGACUCCAAAACAGUUUUCUCAUCCGCACUCAUAUUCGGUUGUCUUGCACAUAACUGCGUAUAGUCAAACAUGAAGGUAGAAAACGUAGGCAUUGCCAUAAGAUCAAUUCACAAAAUAAUAAAAACCAAAAUGCA